Molecule: ribosomal RNA, 347 nt
Filed under: Bacillus sp. 7788
Lineage: Bacteria; Bacillati; Bacillota; Bacilli; Caryophanales; Bacillaceae
Description: bacterial SSU rRNA
Rfam family: Bacterial small subunit ribosomal RNA
Source: RNAcentral
AUGCGUAGCCGACCUGAGAGGGUGAUCGGCCACACUGGGACUGAGACACGGCCCAGACUCCUACGGGAGGCAGCAGUAGGGAAUCUUCCGCAAUGGACGAAAGUCUGACGGAGCAACGCCGCGUGAGUGAUGAAGGUUUUCGGAUCGUAAAGCUCUGUUGUUAGGGAAGAACAAGUGCGAGAGUAACUGCUCGCACCUUGACGGUACCUAACCAGAAAGCCACGGCUAACUACGUGCCAGCAGCCGCGGUAAUACGUAGGUGGCAAGCGUUGUCCGGAAUUAUUGGGCGUAAAGGGCUCGCAGGCGGUUUCUUAAGUCUGAUGUGAAAGCCCCCGGCUCAACCGGGG